CACAGCCACACCACUCGUUUUACUCGGCUCGAGAUGAGGAGGAGGACGAGCGCCGCGCUGCUCGCCGACGCGAAGCUCUAGGACGGCGCACUCCGGGUUCCCGCCGACCGGCUCAAGCGAGGCGAGUGGCCGCGGCGGCCGUCGAGGCCACCUCCGUCUGCGCGCACAUUGAUUGCUCGACCUGGCGGCCAUCAUCGAGGCUGGCGCGCUCCGGGUCCGCGCCGACCGACUCAACGAGGCGACGUGGGCGGAGAGCGAGCGCCGCCUGCUUGCCCGCGCCGCCGUCGAGGCCGCCUCCGUCUGCGCGCACCUAGCCGCCGUCCAUGGCCACUGUUGCGGCUGCUCUAAUCGCUCGGUGCGGCUAUCACCUCCCAUGCGGCUGGGCGUCCUUGCCGCAGGCCCGCAGCCACAGCCAGGGGGCAGCGCACCCUAUGGCUGCAAGAUUGGGGAGGCGCACUACUCGAUGACGGGCGUGGCGGUCCUCCGCAUCAUCUUUUGCUGCAAGGCUGCAGGGAAUCCAUGCUCGUCGUUGUUCGCUAGGUGACGCCGCAGCCGCAGGUCGAGCUUGACCACCACGGCGGCAAACUGCAAAAGGCAUUUGGAUCUUUUUCCACUGCAGGUGGCAACAUCCUCAACCCCCCGUCUUUUUUUUCAUUUUUGUUAGUUUGAUUAUCUGCAAAUUGAUGUGCCAUGACCCAGUAGAGGCACAUCCGAGUUUUGUGUUUAGUUUUCUCACCCCAAAUUGCAUCCCAUGACCCAGUAAACUAGUACAGAUGACAUGCCAUGACCCAGUGCACUAGUAGAUAUGUCAUGGCAAUUUUCACCCCCAUUCUGUACCAUGGUAUUUUUGUGAUAUGUAGUUUUCGAUCUGGUUCAGAACUGGUAGGGAUAUUCUAGGGCAAUUUCCAAUAUGCAGUGAACGGCAAAUUUAGAAUCGUUCCACCACAAUUUUUCCAUUUUGUUUUCUUAGGGAGAACCAAAUUUUGCCGCGCCAAAUUCAUACGUUCUGCCAUCACUACAUAGGAGUUCUUUUUUGCCAUGCCGUAGUUUUGCCAUCAAGUUUUACAUUUCUGUCAUAGUUUUGAUGUGUCAAUCGCAUUAUUUCUUCGAGCUGAUGCAUUUUAUUUUUGAAUUUUCAUGUAGCUAGCUGAGUAAUGUUAUGUCCUAUGAAAUUCGGUGACUUUCGUAACAUGGCAUUUCUGUCACAACAAUUCCAUUAUUUUUUGUCACAUGGCAUAUUCUGUCAUUUUUCAUUUUCCUAGUCUUUUUGUUCAUAACUUGGCAAAUUCAUUAAUGGUCACAUGGCAAAUUCAGCUAUGGUCAAAUGGGAAAUAUAUUAGAAAACUAUUUAACAUACAUGGCAAGUUUCUUUUUAAAGCAUGGCAAAUUUAGUUCAUGGAUCAUGGCAAAUUUUACUAAUUCACCAUGGCAAAUUUAGUUUAUGCAUCAUGACAUUUUUACUAAUUCACCAUGGCAAAUUGUAGUUAGAGACAAUAAUUCUAAAUUGUUAUAAUAAAGUUGCCAUGGCAAACUAUAAAAAGAAAAUAAUUCUAGGUUAGUUAUCAAGAAAGUUGCCAUGGCGAAAAAUUGUAAAUAGAGACAGUAAUUCUAAGUUGUUACCAAAAAUUUGCCAUGGAAAUUUGUUGAGACAAAAAUAAUUCUAAGUUGUUAUCAGAAAAGUUGCCAUGGCAAAUUAUAGAGAGACACAUAAUUCUAAGUUUCUAUCAGAAAGUUGCCAUGGAAAUUUCGUAGAGUGAUUUUUUUAAGUUGACAUCAGAAGGUUGCCAUGGCAAAUUGUAGAGAGAACUAAUUCGAAGUUAGUUAUCAGAAAAGUUUCCAUGGCAAUUUUAAGAUGUUAAAAAACAUGGCAAGGUUUUAGAUGUUCAAAAACAUUCCAACUUGCCAUGGCAAUGUUUCAGAUUUUCAAAAACAUUCCAACUUGCCAUGGCAACGUUAUAGAUGUUGAAAAACAUGGCAAACUUGCCAGGGCAACUUAAGAUGUUCAAAAAUAUGGCAAACUUACAGAUGUUCAAAAACAUGUUAAACUUGCCAUGCCAUUUUUAAAAUGUUCAAAACCAUUUGCAAACUUGCCACGGCAAACUAAAGAUGUGCAAAAACAUGGCAAACUUUUUUUAUUAAGUUCAUACAUAAAUAUGGCAAACUUCUUAAGAUGUUCAAAAACAUGGCAAACUUGCCAUGGCAACUAAAGAUGUUCGAAAUCAUGGCAACCUAAUAUGCUGAAAAACAUGGCAAACUUGCCAUGUCAACUAAAAUCACUAUUUGUUUGUAGUUGUGUUUUUUCCCACGACAACUUAUAUAGCCAUGGGUAAACUAACUUUUAAAUCCCAUGGAAAUUUUAAAUUAACUUGUAUAGCCAUGGGCAAUUAACUUUCAAAGCCCAUGGCAAAUUCACCAUUUUAUUGACAUGGCAAGUUUUGUUUCUUAUGUUUGGCAUGGCAACUUUUAUCCUUUAUCGCCAUGGCAUUUUUACUUAUGCAUGCAUGGCAAAUUUUACUUAUCAUUUACGACAAUUUUUACUUCUCAUUCUCCAUGGCAAAUAUACCUUCAUUUUUUGCCAUGGCAAUUUUCAGUUAGUGGAAAUAAUGCAUAAUUUUGCCAUGUUUCUUGUGCACCGAAUAUGCAUAAAUUUGCCAUGUCCUGGAAUACAUAAAUUUGCCCAUGUGACAAGUCUGAAAAUUUCAUAGUUUUGCCAUGUGACCAGGCAUGGAACUUGCCAUGCUAUGAACAAAUUCCAUAAACUUGCUUUUUUGUGACUAGUACUCCAAAAAAUACAUUCUACAUUUUCCAUUAUUCAGAUUGUAGCAUGGCAUUUUCCAGUUUAUUGGCACGGCAAUUUUUACUUUUCUUUUUUGUCAUGGGAAUUAUUUUUUGCCAUUGUAUUUUUGAAUUUUUUGCCCUGGCAACUUUCCCAUGCUUUUGUUAGGAAUCAAAUAUGUUGUAAACCUUGCUAUUUGUAAAAUUAUAUCAUGGAAAAUCAUAAAAUAGUUUGGUCAAACUCGAAUGGUACUUUUUGAAAUUCUCCCUGGCAUUUUUCUGCUUCUAAAGUUGAUGACAUUUUUUUUGUAGUAUAGCAAAAACUAGUCUUUUUAUUUGUCACAGAAAAAGUAAACAGAAUCUGGGCUUCUUCUUUUGUUGUGCUAUUGGGCUUUUUUUUCUUUUUCAUUUUACAUGAAAAAGGCCCGGGCCUGGGGAGGGCGUUCGUGAUUUCGAUGCUCUCUCCUCCCGAAGGCAAAUUUGACAAAUUUGACCUAGAGACGAAAUCAAAUCACAGAAUGAACUGUCCGUGAAACUAUUUCACGCGGCUGACCCGUGGCGCCUAGCUCUCAGGCGCUGCACUAGUGCAACACCUGGGAGCUAGGCGCUGCACUAGUGCAACGCCUGGUAGCUAGGCGCUACACUGUAUAGUGUGGCGCUUAGCUCUCAGGUGCUGCACACUGACUUAGUAAUUUUCUGAUCACACGGGUGCGACGCUGGCCGUGUAGCGCCUAUCUGUGAGGCGUUGCACAGUGUAGUGUGGCGCCUUCGUGUCGGGCGUCACACAAAAAGGUCAGCCGCGUGAAAUAGUUUCACGGAUAGUUCAUUCUGUGAUUUGAUUUCGUCUAUAGGUCAAAUUUGUCAAAAAUUGCCCCUGCCGAACGAAAGCGUUCGUGAGGGGUCCAGACCGAACAUUCGGGAGAUAUCGGCGUCCUAUUUGUUUUGUCGCUGCGACUGGGCCUGUGUGUUCUGGUCCCGCCUGUAAGUUCAAAGGGUAGAAGUGGGUCGGUUCAUUUGAAACUUACAGCGCCUCGGUGCCUGGGUUUGUCAGGGAUGCACUGUGAUCACAUUCGUUGAACCGUCGUGGUGGGUGGGUGCGCAGCCCUCGCAGUUUUCUCCCCCCGCACCCCUCUCCUUGCCGAUCUCGCCAGUCGCUUGUCCUCAACCCCACCUUCAGCUUGCCUCUCGACCUUCCUCGUUGCUCACUUCGCCUGGCUCCGCCUUCCCAUCCCCACGGUGGAGUGCGAGGACGAGAUGACGACCGGGUCAUCCGUCAGCCUCGCCGCCGGGGAGCAGUCGGCCCGCGGUCGCGCGGUGCUCUCCGGCCCGCCGAACACGGUCCUGGCAUCGUCCGCGUCGGCGAUGGGCCCGUCGAUGUCGGCCCCCUCGGCGCUACGAGGUCCGUCCGCUCGCCUACCUGGUGCGAUUGUUUGGUUCAUCUCGAUCGGCAUUGAUCUGAUUUGAUUUUUAUUCGUGCGGUGCGUUUUAUGGUGUGAUGGAUGGCGCAGGGGCAAGGGCAGCCACGGCUCGCACGAGAUGCAGCUCCUGCUCGUGGAGUUAAAGGCCGGUGUUGGGGCCCUCAGCGGCGAGGAGGACGACUUGUCGUGUGUACGCAGUUUUCCUCCCGCUCGUGGAGUGCGCGUUUCGGGCCAGCCUCGAGGGUGGCCGUCCGGACGGCGACGAGCUUCGUCUCUGCAUCCAGACCUGCGACGCCGGCAGGCACGCCACUUCUUCGCCCCUCAGUCGCCGGUGCUUUCGUUCUGUCUACGGCGAUGGGGUUGCUUCCUCUGCUCCAUUCAUGUCGCUGAGGUUUGUUCUUCCAUCCUCUUCCUUCCUUUGCCUCCUCAAAUUCUUCUUUGGUCUUACUCCUUACAGUAGAUUUCUGUCCUCCGUAGGUUUUGUGAUGUUUGCCUGUUUCUCGCUCUGGAGUAGGUCCCUGCGUCAAUCUUGCCUUCGGCAUUGAGGUGAGAAAAUUAGCCCCACCUUUUCUUGCUGCCCUACUGUUCGGUGAAAUGCUUGUGCCCUGAUGGAUUCCGUUCUUUUUUCCCUUGUGUUCCUUCGCGUCCUGCUUCUUGCCUGCUUUGCAAGUCUUUGUUUCAUCUGUUGGCUCGGUUCAGUUGAUUGUCCGUGCCUGGGUAUGUUCUGUGUACGAUGCAAAUUCGGAACAAUGGAUUUGGUUUUCUGAACCACAAAACUUGUCUAGCUUGAAUUAGCAGAUUACACCAUGAAAAUAUAUUGUCCUUUAAAAAAUACUGUGUAUUAGUACCUCUUUAGACCCUGCUGCUUGCGAUCUGAACCAGUAUAUACUUUUCUACAGUUUAGAUGUUAUAUCAGUUUGCAGAUGAAUUCGUGGCUAAUACUAGCAUUGUGAAUUUUUCAUGUUUGUCUUCCUUCCUUUCAACCUGAUGCAUUCAGCAACUCAGCAACAGGGACUGAUCAGCAUGUGCAUAAUGCUCGUUGGUGACUAUUCCUUGCUUUCUUAUCACAUGUACGCCAUGGUUAUGAGGGAUUAUCUUAACUCUAUUGCUAGAUACUGUGUUUGAGUUUUAUCCAUCUGUUAACCACCACCUGAAAAUGGUAUCAAAAUGUCUAUGCUUAAUUGUUCAGACACUGGAGCAGAAAAGGCUAUAAUUUGGUCUCACUUUGAUUCUGUUACGACUAGAUAUCAAGUUUAUAGCAUGUGAACUCUAAAGAGUAGGAACUAAGGCUGCGUUCGGUUUCUCUCGGCUCCGUUAACUCCGCUCCCGGAGCGGACCAUCCUUUAGCUUAAUUAGGCGGAGCUGCCAAAACCCAACUCCUGAACUCCACGGAGCGGGGAAGUUCCGAACACGGCCUAAAUCUUGUGCUUAAUCACUGCCUACCCUCCUGAGAACCAAAGCAAAAAAUGUAUAGUCCACACAAGUUUUAGUUAAGAUUGUAUCCAUAUCAUAUGGUACAGGUAUUGCCUUGCUGAUACUGACGUUUUGCUGAACCUAGACUUAUAAAUUGCCCUGUAUCACACUCACACAGGUGGAUCCUCGGUAUACAAAUUAGUACUUAAGCAUUGGCUUUUCUGAAUAAGAAUAACGGCGUACAUACCUGAAGAAUUAAAACUUGCAAUAAUAUAUAUUUCUACUUUGUACCACCUGUCUGAGAAUGUCAUAAGUCUUGUUUUUACACAUCUUGAAAUUUCUCAAUCUAUUUAUGAUUCUGCACAACUUUCAGUCUAUAAUUAAUUUUCCUGUCAACCAGCAUCCCAAGCAAGCAAUAUCAAGGUUGGUUAGCACACGUGUUACGCUUCCUAUAUAUGAUAUGGUCCAUAUAUGCACAUUACACGUAAAAAACUUGAGUUUCAUGCAAAGAUUUAAAAAAACAGCUUAUUUUCUAUCCGUGCACUCUUGGUAAAAAGUACCGCAUAUUGAAACUUGUGCAUUGUACCUUGCAGAUAUUGCAAGGCAUCUUCUUCCCGUCUCAGUAAUCAAAAAGUGCACCAUUGGACUGAUGUACCGGAAAGGGUAGUGCCACUGGAGAUAAUUAUUUCAGAUCACCUUCUACUUGAUGGAAGUCAUUAUCAGAAUGUAUGCAUACAACAACAACAACAACAACAACAAAGCCUUUAGUCCCAAACAAGUUGGGGUAGGCUAGAGGUGAAACCCAUAAGAUCUCGCAACCAACUCAUGGCUCUGGCACAUGGAUAGCAAGCUUCCACGCACCCCUGUCCAUAGCUAGCUCUUUGGUGAUACUCCAAUCCUUCAGGUCUCUCUUAACGGACUCCUCCCAUGUCAAAUUCGGUCUACCCCGCCCUCUCUUGACAUUCUCCGCAUGCUUUAGCCGUCCGCUAUGCACUGGAGCUUCUGGAGGCCUGCGCUGAAUAUGCCCAAACCAUCUCAGACGAUGUUGGACAAGCUUCUCCUCAAUUGGUGCUACCCCAACUCUAUCUCGUAUAUCAUCAUUCCGGACUCGAUCCUUCCUCGUGUGGCCACACAUCCAUCUCAACAUACGCAUCUCCGCCACACCUAAUUGUUGAACAUGUCGCCUUUUAGUCGGCCAACACUCCGCGCCAUACAACAUUGCGGGUCGAACCGCCGUCCUGUAGAACUUGCCUUUUAGCUUUUUUGGCACUCUCUUGUCACAGAGAAUGCCAGAAGCUUGGCGCCACUUCAUCCAUCCGGCUUUGAUUCGAUGGUUCACAUCUUCAUCAAUACCCCCAUCCUCCUGCAACAUUGACCCCAAAUACCAAAAGGUGUCCUUCCGAGGUACCACCCGGCCAUCAAGGCUAACCUCCUCCUCACACCUAGUAGUACUGAAACCGCACAUCAUGUACUCGGUUUUAGUUCUACUAAGCCUAAACCCUUUCGAUUCCAAGGUUUGUCUCCAUAACUCUAACUUCCUAUUUACCCCCGUCCGACUAUCGUCAACUAGCACCACAUCAUCUGCAAAGAGCAUACACCAUGGGAUAUCUCCUUGUAUAUCCCUUGUGACCUCAUCCAUCACCAAUGCAAAAAGAUAAGGGCUCAAAGCUGACCCCUGAUGUAGUCCUAUCUUAAUCGGGAAGUCAUCGGUCUCGACAUCACUUGUUCGAACACUUGUCACAACAUUAUCGUACAUGUCCUUGAUGAGGGUAAUGUACUUUGCUGGGACUUUGUGUUUCUCCAAGGCCCACCACAUGACAUUCCGCGGUAUCUUAUCAUAGGCCUUCUCCAAGUCAAUGAACACCAUAUGCAAGUCCUUCUUUUGCUCCCUAUAUCUCUCCAUAAGUUGUCGUACCAAGAAAAUGGCUUCCAUGGUCGACCUCCCAGGCAUGAAACCAAACUGAUUUUUGGUCACGCUUGUCAUUCUUCUUAAGCGGUGCUCAAUGACUCUCUCCCAUAGCUUCAUUGUAUGCCUCAUCAGCUUAAUUCCACGGUAAUUAGUACAACUCUGAACAUCCCCCUUGUUCUUGAAGAUUGGUACUAAUAUACUCCGUCUCCAUUCUUCUGGCAUCUUGUUUGCCCGAAAAAUGAGGUUGAAAAGCUUGGUUAGCCAUACUAUCGCUAUGUCCCCGAGACCUUUCCACACCUCAAUGGGGAUACAAUCAGGGCCCAUCGCCUUGCCUCCUUUCAUCCUUUUUAAAGCCUCCUUCACCUCAGACUCCUGGAUUCGCCGCACAAAACGCAUGCUGGUCUCAUCAAAGGAGUCGUCCAGUUCAAUGGUAGAACUCUCAUUCUCCCCAUUGAACAGCUUGUCGAAGUACUCCCGCCAUCUAUGCUUAAUCUCCUCGUCCUUCACCAAGAGUUGGCCUGCUCCGUCCUUGAUGCAUUUGACUUGGCCAAUAUCCCUCGUCUUCCUCUCUCGGAUCUUGGCCAUCUUAUAGAUGUCCCUUUCACCUUCCUUCGUGCCUAACCGUUGGUAGAGGUCCUCAUAUGCCCGACCCCUUGCUUCACCAACAGCUCGCUUUGCGGCCUUCUUCGCCAUCUUGUACUUCUCUAUGUUGUCUGCACUCCUAUCCAGGUAUAGGCGUCUGAAGCAAUCUUUCUUCUCUUUAAUCGCCUUCUGGACAUCAUCAUUCCACCACCAGGUAUCCUUAUCUUCGCUUCUCCUUCCCCUGGACACUCCAAACUCCUCCGAGGCCACCUUACGAAUGCAAGUCGCCAUCUUCAUCCACACAUUGUCCUCAUCCCCUCCUUCCUCCCAAGGGCCCUCCUUAAUGACCCUCUCCUUGAACACCUGAGCUACCUCCCCCUUGAGCUUCCACCACUUCGUUCUAGCAACUUUGGCACGCUUAUCCCGCUGGACACGAAUCCGAAAGUGGAAGUCAGCAACCACCAACUUAUGCUGGGGUACAACACUCUCUCCAGGUAUCACCUUACAGUCUAGGCACGCACGCCUAUCUUCUCUUCUCGAGAGGAUGAAAUCAAUCUGGCUAGUGUUGGCCACUACUAAAAGUCACCAGAUGUGAUUCUCUCUUUCUAAAGAGGGUGUUAGCUACAAUCAUGUUGUAGGCUAGAGCAAAGCUUAAGACAUCUUCUCCUUCUUGAUUCCUGAUGCCAUAGCCAAAGCCCCCAUGCGCCCCUUCAAAACCUGUGUUAGAUGUACCCACGUGGCCAUUGAGGUCUCCUCCUAUGAAGAGCUUCUCACCAAUUGGUACACUCCUAACCUAACCAUGUCUUCCAGGCCUUCCCAGAACUCCCUCUUGGUGUUCUCAUUGUGGCCUACUUGCGGGGCAUACGCGCUGAUAACAUUGAGAACCAAGUCCUCAACUACCAGCUUGACCAGGAUAAUCCGGUCCCCAUGUCUCUUGACGUCUACCACUCCAUACUUGAGGCUCUUGUUGAUCAAGAUGCCUACGCCAUUUCUGUUUGCAGCCGUCCCCGUGUACCACAGCUUGAAGCCGGUAUCGUCCACCUCCUUCGCCUUCUGUCCUCUCCAUUUGGUUUCUUGGACGCAAAGGAUAUCAACCCCUCUCCUCACCGCUGCAUCAACUAGCUCCCGAAGCUUCCCUGUCAGAGACCCUACGUUCCAGCUACCUAAGCGAAUCCUCCUAGGCUCGGCUAGCUUCCUUACCCUUCGCACUCGUCGAGUCAAAUGCGAAGACCCUUGCUCAUUUUCCACUACAUCCGGGCGCCGAUGUAGCGUGCCACUAAGGAUGCGACGACCUGAUCCUCGCUCACUUGCCACCGUAUCCGGAUCAAGAUACGGCGCGCCACUUGGGGGGUGACGGCCCGGCCCUUGCCCAUUUUCCACCACACCCGGGUUCCGAUGUGGCGCGUCCGCUGCAUCAGAAUGUAUGCAUCAUCGUGGUAUUUACUCAUGUACUAUGAAAUUAAACUGAGCUAACUGAAUUAUCUUUGCAAAAAAAUAUUAGACCAUGUAUAUUACCAAGUGUGUUCUUAUUUUUCGCUUUUCAGGUAGUUGUUAUAGGGGAGAACAAAGUAUUAAUAUUGCUGAUUUGUAAUAUAGAAUGAUCCUUAUGGUCAGAUUUGGCUAAAUUUUUAUGAAUGUGUCGCUUGAGUGUCCCAAAUAUGUGCUGGAUUUGAUUAGUAUGUUGUAUGCUUGCUAUGUUCCAGCCUUCCAGGAGGAUUGUUCUGGGAAUACAUUGACAAACAUGUUCUGCUUUUAAUGUUAUUUCUGUACAUAAAACAUACCAAAUUAAGAACUAAUGUACCCUUCUUACUUGGAAAUAGCUUGAUCUGGUUGGAGAUGUUCUAGCAUUCAGCGUGGGUUCUUGGGUUAGGCUGGCUUCUAGGAUUGACCGAUGCUAAAUUAAGAACUAGGAUUUGGCAGCAGGCAUGGUCUGUCCGGCGUGCUCAAGCCUUUUAGGUUGUUAUUAUCAUUUACAAUUAGGUUAUGCUAAACCAGCAAAUAGAGCUUCACCAUUUAAAAUUUUGAUCCACCAAUGGUGCUCCAGUGAUUUCUACUUAUUUGUUGUCGUGUCUUGGUAGUUUGAUAGAAUAGGGCAUGCUUUUCAUAUAGUUUCGUUACAUGAUGUUACAUCGGUUUUCUGACAGAUUAAUCCAUCACAAGCAAACAAAAUAGGAGACAAGGCAUCAUGAAGCAACCAUAGCAGGCUAUGACAAUUGGUUGUAAUAAAUAAAUGGAGAAUACCCACUGGACAGAAGUUUCUGAGCUAAAUAUGUUAGCCAUCCUAAACCCACUAAAAAACAAAAGAGAACAAUACCGAACCUGAGUAGUAUUUCAAUUUUAUUUCAUAUUAUUUCAUAUAUAUCUGUCAUCAUAUAAGUAUAUUGCAAAUAGAAGGGCUAAAAACAACUGUAGAAUUUCUGCCAAAUGAAGCUAUGCAAUAUAUGGAGCUAACUUGCAAUAGGAUCCCAUGGGAUUACAACUAUGAGAAGGACAGUCUGCUAAGAAAGAAAUUCAGUCCACUCAAAACGAAAAUCAGUCUCUUUUGCGUCAGAUUGAACAAAAAAAAAAGAGACAAGGCCAUCAACAGCCUAACAAAAGGUUGGGGUGGUGCGCUAGACACUGGCUAUGACACCAAGGAUGAGCUUCAAUGUAUAAGAUAUGUCAGAGUGUCGGCUUAAUCAUGCCUUGCUUCAUGUGCAGUAUGUUGAACUCACCUUGAUGAAUCAACCUUGGUCUCAGUCUCUCAAAUGAUAUGCUGCAGCAAACAAAGUCAGGACCUUGCUAUUCAGAUGAUGAACAGCAGUGCUGAUGAGUUGGGUGCUUUCAACUAUGAUAGCUCGGAUGAAGAACUCUACCGCUCAGGUGAUGGGCUAGCUUCCUUUUCCUUAUAAGUUGUGCCCCACUUAUAUAUUUGGCAAGCUUAUGAUCUUACUAACAAUGGUACUAAUGCGACAUCUAUAGCCCUGCCCUGCGAAUUGCUUUUGUUAUGUGCAAGUAUGAGAUCUGAUGUUGUAGGAACACAAUGUAUUUUUACACCCACUGCUUUAAGAUGCUUUUGUACACGCCCCUGCAUAUUGCUGUUCUACUAUGGAGGCUUCUUAUGCCUGGUGCUUGCUUCUAUUAACCAACUCUGUUGAUAGACUGCCAUCAAAUGAAGUACGGUACAGAUGAGACAUUCAGCAAUGACUACCUAAUACCACCGUCUUCAUGUCUUGGUCUUUUCAUCUGGCAGUAGAUACAAGACUCAGCCUAAUGUUAAGAGACAAGUGCUAUAUCUAUGAUGCAUCUCUCCUAAUACAACUUGGUUUAUAAAGCCAAUGUAAGCUAUCAUCAAGUGAUCUCAUAACUUUCUUUUGAGCUAUCAUGCUACCAUGUAAUAGAAUAUAUAACAAUAUGUGUACCUAAGUAUCUAUUAAUUUGGUUCUAAAUCACUCAUUUGCAUGGUUUAAAUGCCCGGCUCGUUUCUCGCUUUUUGUGCCAUGGGCACAACGGGGUCAUCUAGUUACUACAAAGCAUAAUGUAAUGCGUGCCAUCAUUCUUUGUUUAGUACUGUUGAAUUAAAAUAAUAAUCUGCCUUUUUGUUCAUUACCAUUUUUUAACAUUGCUAUUUCUGCUUUUAUGUGGUCCUUGAAACUUGUAAUCUGCUUGAGGCUAUGUUAAAACUUCAUCAAGUGUGAAGAUAUGACACUUGCAUGGACCUGUGCUAACUGAACUGUAUUUGUUAGGUUUGAUCUCUACCAGCACAAGAAGCUUGAUGAGCAAGAAGCACUAGAACUGGAGGCAAAAGGCUGUAGCUUUUCUGUUCUGUAUAACCAUUCUAGCCAAGUUGAUGGAGUUUCUAAUGUCACUGCUUGUUGAGCUGUGAUUUAUUUUCGCCGUUCAUAAUCAGUCUUGCCCAUGAUGUACCACAAAUGAUCCUCUAAUGCAAUGUAACACUUGAUAUGUAUUUAUGUCUCUUCUGUUGGUUCAUGAUUGUGAUUGUGCAGUUUGAAAUCUAUGUUUGCUUGAAGUGGAUGAAUUAAGUCUCAUGCACUGAAAGAUAUUUCUGAUGAUGCUCACAUACUUUUUAGUGACCAACAUGUUCGAAUUUCUUGCAUGAUUCGUGAUAACACAAGUUACUGACGAAAUUAGAUACACAGAAGCUUCA
Molecule: long non-coding RNA, 12244 nt
Filed under: Triticum aestivum (bread wheat)
Lineage: Eukaryota; Viridiplantae; Streptophyta; Magnoliopsida; Poales; Poaceae
Description: long non-coding RNA (TAES_LNC015470)
Source: RNAcentral